CACAUUUUACAUCAGUUCCGGGGUAACCUUCGCUGUUGACCAGACCUUCCAGAACUUCAUCCUCCUUUCCAAAAGGACUCCAGACUACCCAUGGAUGCCUCUUCCUCUGCACGUCGUAGACGUCGUCACUCAUCUGUGUGACGUUCAUUUAACGCAGAGUGAUACUGAUAUUAUCGCCUCCGCGAAUAACUUCCCGGAGACACUGAUCGGCGCUGAGGAGCUUGAGCGGUUAAUGCGUGUAACUUUUGAAGACGGAGAUGCCCGUGCGGAUCUGUCGGCUGUGACUCCGAGAGCGAGUCUUCAAGACAGCGGCACCGAGG
Molecule: long non-coding RNA, 320 nt
Organism: Synchiropus splendidus (mandarinfish)
Lineage: Eukaryota; Metazoa; Chordata; Actinopteri; Syngnathiformes; Callionymidae
Exons: 3
Source: RefSeq, a predicted model, not a curated record